This is an RNA transcript of Nilaparvata lugens (brown planthopper), 656 nucleotides long. RefSeq lists it as uncharacterized. The transcript has 3 exons. The record is from RefSeq and is a predicted model, not a curated record. Lineage: Eukaryota; Metazoa; Arthropoda; Insecta; Hemiptera; Delphacidae.
UCUCAGCUUGUUUCCAUUAAACGCGCGAUCACUAGCACAGAGUGGACGUUUGUCAGUAAACUCUCUCGAAGUCGCGACCCCUCUCCUCGGGUACCAGUUUGUAGGAGUUUGAGAGUGAUCCUAUCGCCAGUAGCGCGACAACCUCUGUCAAAACAGGACCGGAAUGCCAGGGGACAGCAACAGUAACUGACUGCUUCUCAAGUGGGAAUACUCUUUUCUAUCGUCUCCCAGUGCUCAGUGAACCACGGAUUGCCGUGAAUCCUUUUCACACCAGCUACACCAUCAAGCAUGCCGAGCGACUGAUGAAAGUCCACUAUCAACAUCGAAAUGAUUCCUUCUCUAUCUGUACAGAAGGAUUGGGAAUGUAGGAACGGUAUAGAGAUCGAGAAAUGCUUGAGGAAAUUUCUUCCAAUAUGAUAAGGCAGAAUCUAUUCGAUACGAGCCUUGGGUAAUCUUCUUACUGCGCAGUAUAAUAACAUGCCCUGUCAAAAAGGAUAAGGCGAAAUUUAUUUUCCGAACCAUUAUGUAAGAUUACAAAAAAGGAUGAACAAUAGAAACCACAGUAACCUUCAUAUGUGGCUGGAAAGAUAGUUUUGUUGAAAAAAUUCAGUAAAGAAUCUAUUCUUUGUGCUCAGUACCAUCCAAUGAAUUAAUGA